GGGAGAUCGCGGGGGUCCCAGCCGUUGGAACUGUAACUUUUAGGAUAGGGGAUGAGUUUUCAUAUCCCGGAGUACUCCUUUAACUUGUGGAACUUGAUUUGUGGUCAUAAGGAUAAGGGGGUCCCAGAGGCCAGAUCCUAAGACCAUUUACGUUUUGUCCCUUCAGUCCUAUCCACUCGCUGUGCAGGAAACUGAAGAAUGGCUUCAUUGAAAGCAAGAGGCCAUCACUUUAUGGCAGUGGUCUCCAACCUGCAGACCUCCAGAUGUUGCAAAACUACAACUCCCAGCAUGUCUGGACAGCAAAAUAGUUUUUUCCCCCUACAAUUUCAGAAAAAUUACAUAAAAAAAUGUGACGCGUGAACACAGCAUCAGAAGAGGUGUAUAACUGCUAUAUAUCCUGAUCCCAUAAAGGUAGAAGCAGUAUACAGAUAGAGCUGAAGGGGGAGGGGAAUAACUACUUCCAUAUAUCCUGAUCCCAAAGAGAUAGCAGCAGUAUACAGAUAGAGCUGGUAGGAAGGUGUAUAACUAAUAUAGUCUGGUCCCAUAGAGAUAGAGCUGGUAGGGAGGUGUAUAACUAAUAUAUUCUGGUCGCAUAGAGAUAGCAGCAGUAUACAGAUAGAGCUGGUAGGGAGGUAUAUAACUAAUAUAUUCUGGUCCCAUAGAGAUAGCAGCAGUAUACAGAUAGAGCUGGUAGGAAGGUGUAUAACUAAUAUAUUCUGGUCCCAUAGAGAGAGAGCUGGUAGGGAGGUAUAUAACUAAUAUAUUCUGGUCCCAUAGAGAUAGCAGCAGUAUACAGAUAAAGCUGGUAGGGAGGUGUAUAACUAAUAUAUUCUGGUCCCAUAGAGAUAGCAGCAGUAUACAGAUAGAGCUGGUAGGGAGGUGUAUAACUAAUAUAUUCUGGUCCCAUAGAGAUAGCAGCAGUAUACAGAUAGAGCUGGUAGGGAGGUGUAUAACUAAUAUAUUCUGGUCCCAUAGAGAUAGCAGCAGUAUACAGAUAGAGCUGGUAGGGAGGUGUAUAACUAAUAUAUUCUGGUCCCAUAGAGAUAGAGCUGGUAGGGAGGUAUAUAACUAAUAUAUUCUGGUCCCAUAGAGAUAGCAGCAGUAUACAGAUAGAGCUGGUAGGGAGGUGUAUAACUAAUAUAUUCUGGUCCCAUAGAGAUAGCAGCAGUAUACAGAUAGAGCUGGUAGGGAGGUGUAUAACUAAUAUAUUCUGGUCCCAUAGAGAUAGCAGCAGUAUACAGAUAGAUCUGGUAGGGAGGUGUAUAACUAAUAUAUUCUGGUCCCAUAGAGAUAGCAGCAGUAUACAGAUAGAUCUGGUAGGGAGGUGUAUAACUAAUAUAUAUAUCCUGGUCCCAUAGAGAUAGCAGCAGCAGUAUACAGAUAGUGCUGAGAGGGGUCAGAUAGAUGAUUAUAGCAUCUGUUAGUUAACAGGAAGUCAUCUGAUCCAGGACUGACCACUUUCUCUGACAAGUGUUUUCUGUGGGUCACAUUGGCGAUCACAUGACCCACUUACAAUAAUGGAUACAUGCAGAUGUGCUGGACACAGAGAGGGAGAUUUAUCAAAA
Hyla sarda is the source of this 1565-nucleotide long non-coding RNA. RefSeq lists it as uncharacterized. The record is from RefSeq and is a predicted model, not a curated record. Lineage: Eukaryota; Metazoa; Chordata; Amphibia; Anura; Hylidae. The transcript has 3 exons.